GACGAACGCUGGCGGCGUGCCUAAUACAUGCAAGUCGAACGCUUUUUCUUUCACCGGAGCUUGCUCCACCGAAAGAAAAAGAGUGGCGAACGGGUGAGUAACACGUGGGUAACCUGCCCAUCAGAAGGGGAUAACACUUGGAAACAGGUUUUAAUACCGUAGAACACUAUUUUCCGCAUGGAAGAAAGUUGAAAGGCGCUUUUGCGUCAAUGCUGGAUCGACCCGCGGUGCAUUAGCUAGUUGGUGAGGUAACGGCUCACCAAGGCAACGAUGCAUAGCCGACCUGAGAGGGGGAGCGGCCACACUGGGCCUGAGACACGGCCCAGACUCCUACGGGAGGCAGCAGUAGGGAAUCUUCGGCAAUGGACGAAAGUCUGACCGAGCAACGCCGCGUGAGUGAAGAAGGUUUUCGGAUCGUAAAACUCUGUUGUUAGAGAAGAACAAGGAUGAGAGUAGAACGUUCAUCCCUUGACGGUAUCUAACCAGAAAGCCACGGCUAACUACGUGCCAGCAGCCGCGGUAA
Molecule: ribosomal RNA, 523 nt
Filed under: uncultured bacterium
Lineage: Bacteria
Description: partial 16S ribosomal RNA
Rfam family: Bacterial small subunit ribosomal RNA
Source: RNAcentral